Molecule: long non-coding RNA, 225 nt
Organism: Dermochelys coriacea (leatherback sea turtle)
Lineage: Eukaryota; Metazoa; Chordata; Testudines; Dermochelyidae
Exons: 2
Source: RefSeq, a predicted model, not a curated record
AUGAUGAUGAGGAGGAGGUUGAAAAUAGUGCACAGCAAGCAAGCAGAGAACCUGUUUUCCCCAAGAGCCAGGAACUGUUUCUCACCCUGAACCUGGAGCCAGUACCCCCCGAACCCACCCAAGCUGGGCUCCUGGACCCACUAGGAGGAGAAGGGACCUCUGCUGCAAAUGUUUUAACGCUCACAUUGUCAUCUCCUUCCCAGAGGCUAGCAAAGAUUACAAGGC